CCUACGGGGGGCAGCAGUGAGGAAUAUUGGUCAAUGGGCGGGAGCCUGAACCAGCCAAGCCGCGUGAGGGAAGAAGGUACAGCGUAUCGUAAACCUCUUUUGUCGGAGAACAAAACCCGGGACGUGUCCCGGACUGCGUGUAUCCGAAGAAAAAGCAUCGGCUAACUCCGUGCCAGCAGCCGCGGUAAUACGGAGGAUGCGAGCGUUAUCCGGAUUUAUUGGGUUUAAAGGGUGCGUAGGCGGUCCGUUAAGUCAGCGGUAAAAUUGCGGGGCUCAACCCCGUCGAGCCGUUGAAACUGGAAGAU
This 305-nucleotide ribosomal RNA is filed under the name uncultured bacterium. Its description in RNAcentral is "bacterial SSU rRNA". It matches the Rfam family "Bacterial small subunit ribosomal RNA", at positions 338 to 641 of the family's 1533-position model. The record is from RNAcentral.